GAUGAAGAACGCAGCGAAAUGCGAUACUUGGUGUGAAUUGCAGAAUCCCGUGAACCAUCGAGUCUUUGAACGCAAGUUACGCCCGAAGCCAUUAGGCCGAGGGCACGCCUGCCUGGGCGUCACACGUCGUUGCCCCCCCAUCUACUCCUUCGGGAUUGCGGGGGGCGGAUGAUGGCCUCUCGUGCGCCUCGUCGCGCGGUUGGCCUAAAUGCCAAGUCCUCGGCGACGCACGCCACGACAAUCGGUGGUUGCGAAACCUCGGUUGCCUGUCGUGUGCGGUCGUCGCGCAUCGAGGGCUCGAAAAAAUUGCCGGGCUUCGGCUCGACUUUCAACGCGACCCCAGGUCAGGCGGGGUUACCCGCUGAAUUUAAGCAUAUCAAUAAGCGGAGGA
RNAcentral lists this unclassified non-coding RNA (391 nucleotides) under soil metagenome. Its description in RNAcentral is "partial contains 5.8S ribosomal RNA, internal transcribed spacer 2, and large subunit ribosomal RNA". The stretch from base 1 to 122 matches the Rfam family "5.8S ribosomal RNA", at positions 35 to 154 of the family's 154-position model. The record is from RNAcentral.